GUUCUUAAGGUCAUAGUCCCUUUGGUUUAAAAUGUCCCUUCGGAAUAAGAAUGGUCUUAAGAACAUAGUCCCUUCGGUAAAAUUCGUCCCUUCAGAAAUAAAAGUAUUCUUAAGAUCAUAGUCCCUUUUGAGAAAAAUUGUCCCUUCGAAAAAUAAGAAUGAUCUUAAGAAUAUAGUUCAUCUUUUUAUAUUUUAUGCCCUUGGAGAAGUUAGAGGUUAGA
Molecule: long non-coding RNA, 221 nt
Filed under: Medicago truncatula (barrel medic)
Lineage: Eukaryota; Viridiplantae; Streptophyta; Magnoliopsida; Fabales; Fabaceae
Description: long non-coding RNA (MTRU_LNC005893)
Source: RNAcentral